UAUUGGCAGGGGGGAAACCUGACGCAGCGACGCCGCGUUGCGGGAAGAAGGCCUUCGGGUCGUAAACCGCUGUCAGGAGGGAAGAAACUGUUAGGGUAUAAUACGCCCUUUCACUGACGGUACCUCCAAAGGAAGCACCGGCUAACUCCGUGCCAGCAGCCGCGGUAAUACGGAGGGGCGAGCGUUAAUCGGAAUCA
This 197-nucleotide ribosomal RNA is filed under the name uncultured bacterium. RNAcentral's name for it is "partial 16S ribosomal RNA". It matches the Rfam family "Bacterial small subunit ribosomal RNA", at positions 362 to 553 of the family's 1533-position model. The record is from RNAcentral.